GGAGAGGUGGCUGAGUGGUCAAAAGCAACAGAUUGCUAAUCUGUCGUAUGGGGAAAUCCCCAUACCAAGGGUUCGAAUCCCUUUCUCUCCU
This 91-nucleotide transfer RNA is filed under the name Cyanidiaceae sp. MX-AZ01. RNAcentral describes it as "tRNA-Ser". It matches the Rfam family "tRNA". From Rfam's summary of the family: Transfer RNA (tRNA) molecules are approximately 80 nucleotides in length. Their secondary structure includes four short double-helical elements and three loops (D, anti-codon, and T loops). Lineage: Eukaryota; Rhodophyta; Bangiophyceae; Cyanidiales; Cyanidiaceae. The record is from RNAcentral.